GGAUUGCUGCAACAAUAGUGAAACUUGUACUCUCAGUGGCUCCUGUCUUUAACCUUGUCGUAUCCAGUGACCUCAAAGCUCCAGCGCAGGAAGUGUGUGUAAUGAUACCUUGGCUCCAGUGUCCGGACUAUUGAUCUGCUUUGGUUGGACUGUGUCUGUAAAAAUAGCGCAAUUGCUCCAUGUGUGUCUGCCUGGUGCAACAGUGAACCGGCAGAGUAUCGGAGCAAAUGUGAAUCAUCCUACCUGACAUGGGUCAUCACAGGAGUCCCGCUCGCUCACCCCUUUGAAGACAUGGUACAGGCCAAAGAUGUGUCCCAUCUCAUGGAUCAUGGUGUUGGUGUGUCCUACGGUACCAAAGUAGGACGGGUUGAGCACCAUCCCACCUGGCAACAGCAGGAAACGCACAUUAGCUCUGUCACCACUUCCUGAUCUCUGAUUGACCGCGCCUAGCUGGAGUCAUUUCAGACUCCGGGAAUUAGAUCUGGAGGGCUACAACACGUCAGGAAAGUGUUGAAUCCUGGACUGACAAACCAACCAGCAUUCUGAGGCAGAAGCUUACCACUGCCCACAUAAGCCCCAAUGCAUAAACCAACGAAGAAGAAAGAAGAAUCAGUGGAAGGAGUGACUUGUAAUAUAGUGUAACAUCUUAUUUGGUAUGUGGAGGUCUACUGUAUUUUGCUGUCAUGCUUGGGUAAGAGGGCGUUGAGCAGGGAAAAGUUGUCUGAUUGUUGCAAUCUGAAGUCUCACCCAUUUCUCACACCCAAGCCCUUUAAAUUUUACAGCUGUCAGUGUGAUUUCACAAUUUUUCAACUGGCAACACAACUACAGCUUAUUAGGCAUGCUCGGGCUCAAAGAUUAUUUUCCCCUAGAACUAAAUGGUCGGUGAAGCCAAGAUUGAAGCACCAAGGAACUUCCACAGGCUGUAACCAUUGUAUCCGAAUUUGAUGUUGAAGCAAUGAGCAGUAACCAUCCAACCAUUUUCUACCACUUUAUCCUCUACAUGAGAGUCACAGGGGGACCUGGAGCCAACCCAAGCUGACAUAGGGUGAAAGGCUGUGGCUCUAGGCCGGUCGCUAGUCCAUCCCAACAUACAAACUCCAUUCACUCUCACAUAGUGUCCAAUUAA
Molecule: long non-coding RNA, 1126 nt
Organism: Solea senegalensis (Senegalese sole)
Lineage: Eukaryota; Metazoa; Chordata; Actinopteri; Pleuronectiformes; Soleidae
Exons: 4
Source: RefSeq, a predicted model, not a curated record